This 253-nucleotide ribosomal RNA is filed under the name uncultured bacterium. RNAcentral describes it as "partial 16S ribosomal RNA". It matches the Rfam family "Bacterial small subunit ribosomal RNA", at positions 524 to 776 of the family's 1533-position model. The record is from RNAcentral.
UACAGAGGUCCCAAGCGUUGUUCGGAUUCAUUGGGCGUAAAGGGUGCGUAGGCGGCGCGGUAAGUCGGGUGUGAAAUCUCGGGGCUUAACUCCGAAACUGCAUUCGAUACUGCCGUGCUUGAGGACUGGAGAGGAGACUGGAAUUUACGGUGUAGCGGUGAAAUGCGUAGAUAUCAGGAGGAACACCUGUGGUGUAGACGGCUCUCUGGACCGCAACUGACGCUGAGACACGAAAGCGUGGGUAGCAAACAGG